RNAcentral lists this small RNA (116 nucleotides) under Callithrix jacchus (white-tufted-ear marmoset). RNAcentral's name for it is "Metazoan signal recognition particle RNA (ENSCJAG00000070675.1)". The record is from Rfam by way of RNAcentral. Lineage: Eukaryota; Metazoa; Chordata; Mammalia; Primates; Cebidae.
GCCGGGCGCGGUGGCUCACGCCUGUAAUCCGAGCACUUUGGAGGCUGAGGCGGGCGGAUCACCUGAGGUCGGGAGUUCAAGACCAGCCUGACCAACAUGGUGAAACCCCAUCUUUU